GAAAAAACAACUAAAGUGAUAUGUUUUUAACAAGUACUCAAGGUUUCAAUGAAAUACAACAACAUUAUCUACAAAAAAAUGGGGGAAAUGUGGGUUGGGGUAGUCCAAUUACCCCGCUUGGUAGUGGAAGGGUUAAAAAAAUAUUCAAAUAUUAUUU
Long non-coding RNA from Nilaparvata lugens (brown planthopper), 157 nucleotides. RefSeq lists it as uncharacterized. Lineage: Eukaryota; Metazoa; Arthropoda; Insecta; Hemiptera; Delphacidae. The record is from RefSeq and is a predicted model, not a curated record. The transcript has 3 exons.